AACGAACGUUGGCGGCGUGGAUUAGGCAUGCAAGUCGAACGAAUCCCACCUUUGUAGCAAUACCGAGGUGGGGGAAGUGGCGAAAGGGGCAGUAAUGUGUGGGUAACCUACCCUGGGGACUGGGAUAGCCUUCCUAACGGAAGGGUAAUACCGGGCAAUGUAGCUGGAAGGCAUCUUUUGGCUACCAGAUGAAUUUCGCCCUGGGAGGGGCUCACAUCGUAUUAGCUAGUUGGUGAGGUAAUGGCUCACCAAGGCAAAGAUGCGUAGCGGGUGUGAGAGCACGACCCGCGCCACUGGCACUGAGACACUGGCCAGACACCUACGGGUGGCUGCAGUCGAGGAUCUUCGGCAAUGGGCGCAAGCCUGACCGAGCGACGCCGCGUGUGCGAUGAAGGCCUUCGGGUUGUAAAGCACUGUCGAGGGGGAUCAAGGCGCAAGCUUGAGAGAUCCCUGGAGGAAGCACGGGCUAAGUUCGUGCCAGCAGCCGCAGUAAAAC
RNAcentral lists this ribosomal RNA (496 nucleotides) under uncultured bacterium. Its description in RNAcentral is "bacterial SSU rRNA". It matches the Rfam family "Bacterial small subunit ribosomal RNA", at positions 29 to 526 of the family's 1533-position model. The record is from RNAcentral.